This 1149-nucleotide ribosomal RNA is filed under the name Nematotaenia sp. HV17_3. RNAcentral describes it as "partial large subunit ribosomal RNA". It matches the Rfam family "Eukaryotic large subunit ribosomal RNA", at positions 65 to 623 of the family's 3401-position model. The record is from RNAcentral. Lineage: Eukaryota; Metazoa; Platyhelminthes; Cestoda; Cyclophyllidea; Nematotaeniidae. RNAcentral also lists the same sequence under 1 other name.
CUAACCAAGGAUUCCCUUAGUACGGCGAGUGAAGAGGGAUGAGCCCAGCACCGAAGCCUGCGGCAGAGUUGCUGUUAGGCAAUGUGGUGUGUGGGUCGACCAGCGGGAUUGUGGCUCCACUCGAAGUCCAGCAUUGAGUAUGGUUUUCACUGGAUUUGGCCCAUAGAGGGUGAGAGGCCCGUACGUGUGGAGGUAGAAGCAUGUAACACAGUUCACCAGGUCGGCCUCAGAGUCGGGUUGUUUGAGAUUGCAGCCCAAAGUGGGUGGUAAACUCCAUCCAAGGCUAAAUACAGGCACGAGUCCGAUAGCGAACAAGUACCGUGAGGGAAAGUUGAAAAGUACUCUGAAGAGAGAGUAAACAGUACGUGAAGCCGCAUGCAGGUAAACGGGUGGCGUCAAGCUGUGAGCCCUGAGAAUUCAGCUGGCUGGGACGACCGCACGUGGUGGUCUGCUUCCCUGCUGGGAGUGGGGCACGGCGCUAGUAGUGGGCUGUUUAGUUGGCACUGCUUUUUGGUUGUCAGUUUCGACUGUUAGCCAGAGGUGUGUCGGUUGUGCGGCCGAUGCUGCUGGCGUGGUUGCUACGUGUGCCGGGUGGGUGCCGGAGCGUGCCGCUCGUUGGUGUGAAGUCGGCUAGUCAGUGCAUUUUCUCAGUGGUGAACACCACGAUCGAUGGCAUUGCCAGUCUGCUGCGGUCAAGUCGUGCUCUCUUGGCACCACCUCGGCUGAGCUGGUUCGCCAGCCCUAGUCGAGGGUCAGGAGGGUGCGAUCACAGGCAGUUUGAGUGGACGGCGUAGUGGUGUCUCGGCAUUGCUGCGUGUUAUCGUGCGCUCACUGCCAACGAGGUGUUGCUUUGCACGGUGCUAUGAUCGCUGUGUCUCAGCGCCUCGGUGGGCUGCGGUAGUGCAAGUGACUGUGCAAGGCAUCGUCAGUGUCCAUCUCAUCUGUCGCUUGCGACAGAGAGGUAUUCGGCAGGCACAUCAUGGGUGCGGUGACAGUGGAGCGCGCUGGAGUCUGUGCGCGUUGGGUUUGGUUGUCGUGUUGCCCGCGCAAAGUGGGUCCGGCGAUGGUCUGACGCGAUUCAGCAGACGCUAGUACGCUGUUCCAAGUGCAUGUGAUACCGGGGAUGUAAUAAUCGGUGGUGCUGCGGUA